CCAUUUUCGGUGUCAUUCACUCCGAGACAAGAUGAAAGAAAGGGUUCUUUUCUGCGCGGUGUUCUUCUGUGUGGUGGUGGUGGUUUUCUCCAGGUCAACAUGGUCCCUGAAUAUAGGGUACGAUGGUAGCCAGUUUCAGGGUCUGAGCUGUCAGGAUUGCUACCACAGGAACAGCCAAGGGGAUUGUGUUGCCAACUGGGCUUGUCUCUUUAUGAAUAAGGCCUUUGAUUCCUCCCCACCGUAAGCAGAGUCUCUCUUCGGCCAUGAGAGGAAGCCAGGAUAUUUGGCCUCAUCGACGCCUCAGCUCUGGAGGACACACGGACCAGAGUGUGACCUUGAAUUAUGGAUUAUUCACCUUUCCUCCGUUGAAUGGGAAGUCGACAUGUAUGUGAAUUUCAUCUGCAUACAUAUCAAUACACAUAUACAUAUACAUACGUUGAAUAUAUAUAUAUAUAUA
RNAcentral lists this long non-coding RNA (457 nucleotides) under Penaeus japonicus. RNAcentral's name for it is "uncharacterized LOC122267612". Lineage: Eukaryota; Metazoa; Arthropoda; Malacostraca; Decapoda; Penaeidae. The record is from RNAcentral.